UAAGCAACUAUACUGUGAAACUGCGAAUGGCUCAUUAAAUCAGUUAUCGUUUAUUUGAUAGUACCUUUACCUGGAUAACCGUGGUAAUUCUAGAGCUAAUACAUGCUAAAAACCUCGACUUCGGAAGGGGUGUAUUUAUUAGAUAAAAAACCAAUGCCCUUCGGGGCUCCUUGGUGAAUCAUAAUAACUUAACGAAUCGCAUGGCCUUGCGCCGGCGAUGGUUCAUUCAAAUUUCUGCCCUAUCAACUUUCGAUGGUAAGAUAGAGGCUUACCAUGGUCUUAACGGGUAACGGGGAAUUAGGGUUCUAUUCCGGAGAGGGAGCCUGAGAAACGGCUACCACAUCCAAGGAAGGCAGCAGGCGCGCAAAUUACCCAAUCCCGACACGGGGAGGUAGUGACAAUAAAUACUGAUACGGGGCUCUUUUGGGUCUCGUAAUUGGAAUGAGUACAAUCUAAAUCCCUUAACGAGGAACAAUUGGAGGGCAAGUCUGGUGCCAGCAGCCGCGGUAAUUCCAGCUCCAAUAGCGUAUAUUAAAGUUGUUGCCGUUAAAAAGCUCGUAGUUGAACCUUGGGCCUGGCUGACCUGUCCUCCUAAUCGAGCGCACGGGUUCGGUCGGGCCUUUCCUUCUAGGGAACCCCAUGCCCUUCACUGGGUGUGGUGGGGAACUAGGACUUUUACCUUGAAAAAAUUAGAGUGUUCAAAGCAGGCCUUUGCUCGAAUACAUUAGCAUGGA
This 734-nucleotide ribosomal RNA is filed under the name Chaetothyriales sp. A530. Its description in RNAcentral is "SSU rRNA". It matches the Rfam family "Eukaryotic small subunit ribosomal RNA", at positions 66 to 813 of the family's 1831-position model. Lineage: Eukaryota; Fungi; Ascomycota; Eurotiomycetes; Chaetothyriales. The record is from RNAcentral.